This 72-nucleotide transfer RNA is filed under the name Salimicrobium album. RNAcentral describes it as "tRNA_Gly_GCC". It matches the Rfam family "tRNA". Rfam says of the family: Transfer RNA (tRNA) molecules are approximately 80 nucleotides in length. Their secondary structure includes four short double-helical elements and three loops (D, anti-codon, and T loops). The record is from RNAcentral. Lineage: Bacteria; Bacillati; Bacillota; Bacilli; Caryophanales; Bacillaceae.
GCGGGAGUAGUUCAGCGGUAGAACACCACCUUGCCAAGGUGGGGGUCGCGGGUUCGAAUCCCGUCUUCCGCU